RNAcentral lists this long non-coding RNA (1721 nucleotides) under Salmo salar (Atlantic salmon). RNAcentral's name for it is "lncRNA (ENSSSAG00000109398.1)". Lineage: Eukaryota; Metazoa; Chordata; Actinopteri; Salmoniformes; Salmonidae. The record is from RNAcentral.
GUUUAAAGAUUGUAUUACAUUAUCUAAAAGUGCGAAAGUAAACCCCAGCUGUUAUUCUUUUCACAGGGAAGACAAUCCCCAUUAUGCCAUGAAUGUUUCAUUGCUGAACAACCGUAGAUAUUUUUCCUUUAAUUUGGCUCCCGUUCCUCCAACAGUGAGCAAGACCUGCCAGCAGAGCUCACUGGAGCAGGGAGACAUCCCGUCAUCCUUUUGGCGCCUGACAAAGUCAACUUUUUUUCUUCUAAAUACCACUAUAGUAACAUCUUCUGCACAAAGUGACAUUCCUAAUAAGAUUGGUGUUAAGUGAGAAAGAAUACUAAAGAUGGUCCAAUGGGUAUGGUCUGAAACCUCUUGUCAUCUCAGUAUGUUGAACCACCUGAUUUCUUGCAGGCUUGAGAUUCAGAUCCUGCUGAACGAUGUUAAGCAGUCGAUUAACCACAUGCAGGGGACGCUGAACACCAUGCAGCGGCAGUGUAUUGAGUUGCAGACUGCCAUAUCUAAGAUCAUCACAGCAGCCGAAGUUGCUGUGCAGAGGGAGGAGAUCGUCCAAGCAUCAGGCCUCAUCCUGUCACAGAGGGAGGGUAUCCUCCAAACAGCCAGUGUACCUUCACAGAGGGAGGGAAUCCUCCAAACAGCCAGUGUCCCUGCACAGAGGGAGGGAAUCCUCCAAACAGCCAGUGUCCCUGCACAGAGGGAGGGAAUCCUCCAAACAGCCAGUGUACCUUCACAGAGGGAGGGGAUUCUCUCAGCAGCUAGCAUCACUGUGCAGAGGGAGGAGAUCCUCCGAUCAUCAGGCCUCAUCCCUGCACAGAGGGAGGAGAUUCUCCAAACAGCCAGUGUCCCUGCACAGAGGGAGGAGAUUCUCCAAUCAGCCAGUGUCCCUGCACAGAGGGAGGAGAUUCUCCAAUCAGCCAGUGUCCCUGCACAGAGGGAGGGGUUUCUCCAAACAGCCAGUGUCCCUGCACAGAGGGAGGGGUUUCUCCAAACAGCCAGUGUCCCUGCACAGAGGGAGGGGAUUCUCCGAGCAUCAGGCCUCAUCCCUGCACAGAGGGAGGGGAUUCUUCCAGCAGCUUCUAUCACUGCUCGGAAGAAGAAGAUCCUCAGAGCAUCACACCUCACCCCUGCACAAAGGGAGUUGAUCCUCCUGAUGGCCAGUGUCACUGCGCAGAGGAAAGGAAUCUUCCCAAAGGCCAGCGUCCCUGCGCACAGGGAGUGGAUCGUCCCAAAGGCUAGUGUCCCUGCAGAGAGGGAGGAGAUCUUCCUCACAACCAGUGUCCCUGUGAAGAAUGGAAACAAUCAUCCACAACCACCUCCCAUCAUCCCCAUGGUAGCACCACUGUGGAAAUGGGAUGGUGGAGCGGGUACUCCACCUGUGGAUUUCUAUUCCAAGAGAAGAGGUCACUUACAUUUACAUUUAAGUCAUUUAGCAGACGCUCUUAUCCAGAGCGACUUACAAAUUCACUUAACCUUACCUAAUUUGUAAAGAAAUUACCAUUGUGAUAGCGUGAGAAUAAGUUGUGAUAGAUUAAAUGUACGGCUCAUGUGAGUAUAUAGCUGUAAUACUUUCAUGCAUUUUCUACAUACAACAGGUUUAGCUCCAUUUUACUUUUACAUUUUAGUCAUUUAGCAGACGCUCUUAUCCAGAGCGACUUACAGUAGUGAGUGUAUACAUUUACAUACUCCGGUGAAUCUCUCCAGGAUUUCACAUGGAUUUUUUUUUA